RNAcentral lists this ribosomal RNA (222 nucleotides) under uncultured bacterium. RNAcentral describes it as "partial 16S ribosomal RNA". It matches the Rfam family "Bacterial small subunit ribosomal RNA", at positions 524 to 744 of the family's 1533-position model. The record is from RNAcentral.
UACGUAGGGUGCAAGCGUUAAUCGGAAUUACUGGGCGUAAAGCGUGCGCAGGCGGCUAUGCAAGACAGAUGUGAAAUCCCCCGGGCUCAACCUGGGAACUGCAUUUGUGACUGCAUAGCUAGAGUACGGUAGAGGGGGAUGGAAUUCCGCGUGUAGCAGUGAAAUGCGUAGAUAUGCGGAGGAACACCGAUGGCGAAGGCAAUCCCCUGGACCUGUACUGAC